CAAGGGAGCAGAGGAGACAGACGCCAGAGAAAAGGGGAGGGAAAGCCGACAGGGGAGGAGAGAAAGGGAGACAGCAGAGAGGUGGGGAGAAGGAACCCCAGGGCCCACCUGGUCAGGCCUGGACAGCUGAGCCUGUCCAACUAACUCAGCCAACCCAAGUCCCUGCACAGCCAGGCUGCCCCCUGCAGGUCAAGGGAGAAAGCCAGCAUCCUAACCACCAUCCCAGCGACCAUCCUAACUACCAUCCCAGUGACCAUCCCAACCACCAUCCCAGCGACCAUCCCAACUACCAUCCCAGUGACCACCCCAACUACCAUACCAGUGACCAUCCCAAUGAUCAUCCUGACCACAUCCCAAUGACCAUACCAAUAAUCAUUCUGACCACCAACCCAGUGACCAUCCCAACUACCAUCCCAAUGACUAUCCCAACCACCAUCCUGACAACCAUCCCAGUGACUGUCCUGGCUGCCAUCCCAAUGACCGUCCUGACCACCAGCCCAGUCAGGGUCUUGUCUAGCAUGCACACACCCUCUGAGCAGCACCUAGCUCAAGGCCUAGGGCAGAUGCUCAAUAGACAUGGAGCUUAUUGUUCACAGUGAGAAAACCACAUACACACUGUGUCCACUGUGAGAUGUGUCAGAGAUCUGAAUAGAAAGAACACAGAGAGACCUUGGACCCUGCACCCAUUUUCCCCCAGGCAAAUUGAUGGGCAGCAUGCAGCAGGAGGUUGGGUGGAGACCAUUGAGUGCCUUCCUAUACACAAUCAUGUGAGGUACAGUUCCACCAGGCAUGGUGGUUCAUGUGUCCACCCCACAGCACAGGUGGUCAACAUCCCCAUUGCUGGAUAGAUGGGCCACCACCGAUUUGCUCUCCGCCUGCCAUUUUGACAUUUCAAGGUAUAUAGAUGGAAUCAUACAGUAUGUGGCCUUUUGAAUGAUCUUAUUCAUUCAGCAUGGUUCUCCUGAGAUCUACCCAAAUUGUUGCAUAUGUCAAUAGUUUGUUCCUUUUGAUUUCUUCCCAGUACAGUCAUCCCUUGGUAUCUAUAGAGAGAUAGAUCCUGGGGGUCCCAGGAUCCCCCAUGGGCACCCAAAUCCUCAGAUGCUCAAGUCCUUUAGAUCACACACAGCCUCCACAGCCUCUCACAUAAUCUAUACUCGAGGUCUGGGGUUGUGACUCUAUGGUAGAGCGCUCACCUA
Molecule: long non-coding RNA, 1196 nt
Filed under: Marmota monax (woodchuck)
Lineage: Eukaryota; Metazoa; Chordata; Mammalia; Rodentia; Sciuridae
Source: RNAcentral